CACCUCUCAGGGUCAUAUCUGGAGAAUUUCCAGUAUUCUACCAGUUUCGACUAUGGGAGGGAGAGUCAAAGAGAGGCAUAUCCAUUCCAUUCCUAGCUUGGGCAGUGGCUAGCGAGUGGAAGGCAAUCUGCUGCAAGU
Molecule: small nucleolar RNA, 138 nt
Organism: Tachyglossus aculeatus (Australian echidna)
Lineage: Eukaryota; Metazoa; Chordata; Mammalia; Monotremata; Tachyglossidae
Source: RefSeq, a predicted model, not a curated record